GUCGACGAUGAAGCCCUUCGGGGUGGAUUAGUGGCGAACGGGUGAGUAACACGUGGGCAAUCUGCCCUUCACUCUGGGACAAGCCCUGGAAACGGGGUCUAAUACCGGAUAACACCGGCUCCUGCAUGGGAGCUGGUUGAAAGCUCCGGCGGUGAAGGAUGAGCCCGCGGCCUAUCAGCUUGUUGGUGGGGUAAUGGCCUACCAAGGCGACGACGGGUAGCCGGCCUGAGAGGGCGACCGGCCACACUGGGACUGAGACACGGCCCAGACUCCUACGGGAGGCAGCAGUGGGGAAUAUUGCACAAUGGGCGAAAGCCUGAUGCAGCGACGCCGCGUGAGGGAUGACGGCCUUCGGGUUGUAAACCUCUUUCAGCAGGGAAGAAGCGAAAGUGACGGUACCUGCAGAAGAAGCGCCGGCUAACUACGUGCCAGCAGCCGCGGUAAUACGUAGGGCGCAAGCGUUGUCCGGAAUUAUUGGGCGUAAAGAGCUCGUAGGCGGCUUGUCACGUCGGGUGUGAAAGCCCGGGGCUUAACCCCGGGUCUGCAUCCGAUACGGCAGGCUAGAAUGUGGUAGGAAGAUCGAAUUCCUGGGGUACGGUGAAAUGCGCCAAUUUCGGGAGGAACACCGGUGGCGAAGCGGAUUUCUGGGCAUUAUGA
This 657-nucleotide ribosomal RNA is filed under the name Streptomyces venezuelae. Its description in RNAcentral is "bacterial SSU rRNA". It matches the Rfam family "Bacterial small subunit ribosomal RNA", at positions 61 to 743 of the family's 1533-position model. The record is from RNAcentral. Lineage: Bacteria; Bacillati; Actinomycetota; Actinomycetes; Kitasatosporales; Streptomycetaceae.